GUGGGGAAUAUUGGACAAUGGGCGCAAGCCUGAUCCAGCAAUGCCGCGUGGGUGAAGAAGGUCUUCGGAUCGUAAAGCCCUUUCGACAGGGACGAUGAUGACGGUACCUGUAGAAGAAGCCCCGGCUAACUUCGUGCCAGCAGCCGCGGUAAUACGAAGGGGGCUAGCGUUACUCGGAAUUACUGGGCGUAAAGGGCGCGUAGGCGGCUCUGUUAGUCAGGCGUGAAAUUCCUGGGCUUAACCUGGGGACUGCGCUUGAUACUGCAGGGCUUGAGGCCGAGAGAGGGUGGUGGAAGUCCCAGUGUAGAGGUGAAAAUCGUAGAUAUUGGGAAGAACACCGGUGGCGAAGGCGACCACCUGGCUCGGUUCUGACGCUGAGGCGCGACAGCGUGGGGAGCAAACAGGAUUAGAUACCCCGGUAGUCC
This 425-nucleotide ribosomal RNA is filed under the name uncultured bacterium. RNAcentral's name for it is "partial 16S ribosomal RNA". It matches the Rfam family "Bacterial small subunit ribosomal RNA", at positions 354 to 796 of the family's 1533-position model. The record is from RNAcentral.